Molecule: non-coding RNA, 96 nt
Organism: Mycena latifolia
Lineage: Eukaryota; Fungi; Basidiomycota; Agaricomycetes; Agaricales; Mycenaceae
Source: the annotation of a GenBank genome assembly
GACCCAGUGGUGAAAGGCAUCACACCUGCAAUCCGUUCACGGCAAUAACGAUUGCAAGCUCAAGCAGGAAGUCCCGGUUCAAUUCCGGUUGGGUCA